RNAcentral lists this long non-coding RNA (1843 nucleotides) under Phoenix dactylifera (date palm). RNAcentral describes it as "long non-coding RNA (PDAC_LNC011435)". Lineage: Eukaryota; Viridiplantae; Streptophyta; Magnoliopsida; Arecales; Arecaceae. The record is from RNAcentral.
UCCCUCUAUUUUUUAUUUCUUCUUCUCCCGUGGGACUUGCCUCCCAGAGCUAGGAAUGAUGGGAGAAGCCUCCCUCCCCCGGUGGGGGAAGAGGAGGAAUCAGUCCAAGAGAAGAGAACUCCCCUCCUUUUAUAGCUUCAGCAUCCCCUCUCUCUCUUCCUCUCUAGUUGUUCCGAUAAGGAUGAAGACGUGAGCUGAUCCGUUGUCGAUGGAGGAGGCUUUGGAGAGGAUCUCGGACGGUUGCUGGCUUCCAGAAGCUCGGAAUGGUUGUUGUAGAGCUGUGGAUGCUGCGGAUGUGAAGCAGGGGAAGUGCACCAGACGCGUACGGUUGCUUUCGGAAUGGGAUACGGGAGCUGGGAGAUCCGAAAGAAGGUUCUGGUUUUCAUCCGAUGAAACAGGGGAUUUGAUGUGGUCAUGGGGUGUUUCCGUGAAGUCUGGGAAGUAGCUGAACCGAGGAAGCAGGGGGGUUCAGGUGAGAGAAAUCCGGAAGAAUGGGGAGAUGGAGUGCGGAAUGGGAUGAAGUUAAUCUCGGACGGGAGGAAUCCGGAAGAAGACGUGGCUUACAGGCGCGAGGGGGGAGCUGAGAAGAUCUCGGAUGAGAGAAAUCUGGAAGGGCUUCAACGUGGAGAAGAUCUUGAACGGGAUACUCGGGAGGAGAUGUUCCGGAAGCCUUGGAGAUGAAGACGUGUGAAACAGGGAAGGAAUGGAUUCGGUUGGUUUUGUUUUGAAACUAAAACAGGGGAUGUGGAACUGUGAACGCGACGUUUGAGUUCAUCCCGUGAAGAUGGAGGAGAUACAGUUGGUUCGGUCGCUGGGACUUGGCUGGGAGAUCUUUGGAAGAAUCCCUUCGCUGGGGAUUUAGUGGGAGGAUUGAAUGGUUGAGAUGCUCACGGGAUGAGGAUGAAGAAGCUGGGAGGUCGUCCUUGAAUCGCGGACGGGAGAGAAGCUGGAAGACGUGAUGAAGAUGGCCUGAGCUUAUGGGUGGUUAGCUGGGUUCGGAAGAGGGAUGAGCGUGGGAUUUGUGUUCAUCCCACGGGCAAAAAGGAGGGGAGAUAAGCUGGGGUGGACUUGGAGCUCGGAUGACGGAUUUAGAGGGAGUUUGGUGGAACCGUGGAGCUCGGAAAAUCUGGUAUGUUGGCAGUUGGGAUAUAACGGAGGAUAAGCUCGGUAUGGGAUGCAGGGGAUUGCAUACGGAAGAAUUGGAAUGUUGGCACCUGGGCUUAAGAUGCAGAAGAAGCUGGGAUUGAUUUGGGAGAAAAGAUUUUGAGACAUGACGGUCGGCUGGGAAGUCUUGGGACGACCCUGUUCUUUGGUCAUGAAACAGGGGAGAUUGGGACUGGACCUGGGUGCGUAUUAUUCGGGUUCAGGGAUCAUCCCAAAUAAGUUUGACUUGACCUGCAUUCAUUAGGCUUAAUCAUUAAAUAAUCAAAUCAAACUUGAAUUACCUUUGAUAUUAAAAUGCACUGGUAAAGGUAAUACAUUUUUUAGUUGAAUUUACAAAAUAUAUGAAUUAAAAUAAUGAUAAGUGCUAUAAAUAAAAGGUUAAUUUAUGCAUUAUUUAGCACUUAUCACACCCCCCAACCUACAUUUUGCUAGUCCUCAAGCAAAAUAAAAGCUAACUCACUUUCGCAGGAAUCGCGAUUGCAUUUACCGUAUGCAAUAAGGCUUUAAACCCCUAGGUGGCCCUAGUGGACGAGUUUUGUCUCGUGAGGAUUUCCGGCUCAGAUACCCACAAACUGUGUCGAAAAAAAUUUAUUUUAUUGUUUUAUAAAAUCUAAUUUCAAAUGCAUUAAUGCCAAGAAUUUCAAAAGCACACAAAGUUUUAAUUACUAAGUCAGCCCGA